RNAcentral lists this non-coding RNA (31 nucleotides) under Homo sapiens (human). Lineage: Eukaryota; Metazoa; Chordata; Mammalia; Primates; Hominidae. The record is from RNAcentral.
GGACAAAACACAGAUGGUACCUCUUCCAGGA